RNAcentral lists this long non-coding RNA (970 nucleotides) under Olea europaea subsp. europaea. Lineage: Eukaryota; Viridiplantae; Streptophyta; Magnoliopsida; Lamiales; Oleaceae. The record is from RNAcentral.
AAAUAAUAAAUGAGCCCAUUUCACAAAUGUGGGCCUCAAUUACACUCAAAAUCUUGAUAACUAAUAACCCAACCCAUUUAAUUAUUAAACCAAUUAACCCAAAACCCAAUGGAUGACUAAUACCCAACCCACUUAAUUAAUAACCCAAUUAAUAAUUAAUAAACCAAUUAAGCCCAAACCCAAGUGAUACCAAUAAACCAAGCCCAAACCCGAUUUAUACAAAGAAACCCGCCCAUUGAUAUAUCCACUGCACGGCCUCUGGAUCCACUGUCUGGCGGUGCUGUGGGAGUCGCGGUGCUGUGGGAUGCUAGCUGGCUCGAAGGAGAGUCUCAAUUACUUGGGUUGCCGGCUUACUAGCAGUCGACGGUUGAAAGAUUGAUGAACUCCCGACGGGCGGCUGGCUUGGGUGGUGUGUUUUCUGUUUUUGCACUUCUGCCCCUCUUGCUGUUAGAAUUCUGGCGACAGAGAAUGUGAAGCUGUGGUGGCGGUUGACUUCUGCAAUGAAACAAGUCGUUCCCUGUGUUGCGGCAGUUUGAAUUGGGUUGUAGUGGGAUAGGAGGCUUGGGUCACGGUCGGCGGCGGCUGAGAAUUCGAUUGAAUGGAGAUUGGGUUGGGGGUUCGGCUGAAUGGAGGUUUGGUCGCGUUGUGGAUUUGGUUUGGUUAAUAUUUGGUUUAUGGCAGUGUGUUAGUUUGUUGGCAGUGGAAUACUGUGCUUGAGUGAAAAAAAUGACGAGAGUUGCUGCAGAAUGACUUGUGUGUAUAAAUUGAUUUUGUAGACGAAGUUUUACCCAAGUUUCGCUCUGAUACCAACUUGAUGUAGGGUGAAUGAUUCAACAGCUAAAACAAGAAGAGAUGGUAGAAAGGGAGAGAGGAAGGAGAACAGAGACAGUGAGCAAAGAGGCAAACGGCUGAAGCCAACGUUAUAAUUUAAUCAAAAUUCAUCAACUGAGAAAUUACAAACCAAUGAUAG